Molecule: ribosomal RNA, 485 nt
Filed under: uncultured bacterium
Lineage: Bacteria
Description: partial 16S ribosomal RNA
Rfam family: Bacterial small subunit ribosomal RNA
Source: RNAcentral
AUUGAACGCUGGCGGCAUGCCUUACACAUGCAAGUCGAACGGCAGCGGGCCCUUCGGGGUGCCGGCGAGUGGCGAACGGGUGAGUAAUGCAUCGGAACGUACCCGGGAGAGGGGGAUAACCGGCCGAAAGGCUGGCUAAUACCGCAUGAACUCGGAAGAGCAAAGCGGGGGACCUUCGGGCCUCGCGCUCUCGGAGCGGCCGAUGUCCGAUUAGGCUAGUUGGUGGGGUAAAGGCCCACCAAGGCGACGAUCGGUAGCGGGUCUGAGAGGACGAUCCGCCACACUGGGACUGAGACACGGCCCAGACUCCUACGGGAGGCAGCAGUGGGGAAUCUUGGACAAUGGGCGCAAGCCUGAUCCAGCAAUGCCGCGUGGGUGAAGAAGGCCUUCGGGUUGUAAAGCCCUUUCGGCGGGGAAGAAAUCGGUCAGGCGAAUAGUCUAGCCGGAUGACGGUACCCGCAGAAGAAGCACCGGCUAACUACGUG